RNAcentral lists this ribosomal RNA (497 nucleotides) under uncultured bacterium. RNAcentral describes it as "partial 16S ribosomal RNA". It matches the Rfam family "Bacterial small subunit ribosomal RNA", at positions 28 to 507 of the family's 1533-position model. The record is from RNAcentral.
GAUGAACGCUGGCGGCGUGCCUAAUACAUGCAAGUCGAGCGAACGGACGAGAAGCUUGCUUCUCUGAUGUUAGCGGCGGACGGGUGAGUAACACGUGGAUAACCUACCUAUAAUACUGGGAUAACUUCGGGAAACCGUAGCUAAUACCGGAUAAUAUUUUGAACCGCAUGGUUCAAAAGUGAAAGACGGUCUUGCUGUCACUUAUAGAUGGAUCCGCGCUGCAUUAGCUAGUUGGUAAGGUAACGGCUUACCAAGGCAACGAUGCAUAGCCGACCUGAGAGGGUGAUCGGCCGCACUGGAACUGAGACACGGUCCAGACUCCUACGGGAGGCAGCAGUAGGGAAUCUUCCGCAAUGGGCGAAAGCCUGACGGAGCAACGCCGCGUGAGUGAUGAAGGUCUUCGGAUCGUAAAACUCUGUUAUUAGGGAAGAACAUAUGUGUAAGUAACUGUGCACAUCUUGACGGUACCUAAUCAGAAAGCCACGGCUAACUACGUG